RNAcentral lists this transfer RNA (83 nucleotides) under Insectozyma chauliodis. RNAcentral describes it as "Candida chauliodis tRNA-Ser". Lineage: Eukaryota; Fungi; Ascomycota; Pichiomycetes; Serinales; Debaryomycetaceae. The record is from RNAcentral.
GGUCAGCUUGAUUUAUCGGUACAAUCAGGCUACUUGCUAUGUAGUCCCUUUAAAGGAUCAGUGUUCGACUCACUGGCUGACCG